UACAGAGGGUGCGAGCGUUGUUCGGAAUUAUUGGGCGUAAAGGGCGCGUAGGCGGCGCGGUAAGUCACCUGUGAAAUCUCCUGGCUCAACUGGGAGGGUGCGGCGAAAACUGGAAUGCUAGAGGAUGGGAGAGGUAAGCGGAAUUCCUGGUGUAGCGGUGAAAUGCGUAGAUAUCAGGAGGAACACCUGUGGUGUAGACAGCUUACUGGACCAUUUCUGACGCUGAGACACGAAAGCGUGGGUAGCAAACAGG
Molecule: ribosomal RNA, 253 nt
Filed under: uncultured bacterium
Lineage: Bacteria
Description: partial 16S ribosomal RNA
Rfam family: Bacterial small subunit ribosomal RNA
Source: RNAcentral